This 75-nucleotide transfer RNA is filed under the name Synechococcus phage S-CRM01. It matches the Rfam family "tRNA". From Rfam's summary of the family: Transfer RNA (tRNA) molecules are approximately 80 nucleotides in length. Their secondary structure includes four short double-helical elements and three loops (D, anti-codon, and T loops). The record is from Rfam by way of RNAcentral. Lineage: Duplodnaviria; Heunggongvirae; Uroviricota; Caudoviricetes; Pantevenvirales; Kyanoviridae.
GCCCGAUUAGCUCAGAGGACAGAGCACUUGGCUACGAACCAAGGUUAUGCGUAGGUUCGACUCCUACAUCGGGUG